UCAUAAACUUGGCCCGCGGCCAGGAAUUAGUGCGCAUGCGCACAACUCAUCAGUCUUGAGUCUCGAGCUUAUAUAUUAAGUCUAUGGUCUCGAGGCAAGGUGAGCUCGCGCCGAUCAUCCUGUCAACGUAAUUUGCACGUUCAGAUCGGUUACCGCUGAUUCUCCUCCAACCUGGAGUUGAAACUCCGUUCCAUCAUUUCACUGUUUUUUUUCCUCGAAGUUUUGUGGAAGUUUCCAGCUGAAAGGUUUUGAAGUCGCCAUACGGAUGGACAGAACAUUCUUUGUGACAGAACCGCAGACGCCACCUUCCGAUAUGCCUUCGCCUGCAAACAGAACAGAUGUGGAUGUAAACGCCUGAGGAUCUAGUGGUUGAAGCAGAGAAGAAACAAGUCAACACCUCGGAGCUGUCGGGAGCAGAGACCACCACCGGCUGGCCGAUGUCCGACGUCUGUCUGAUGUUCAGGAGGAAACUGGGGUUCCCGGGAGAAAACCUGCACAUGCACGAGGAGAACAUCCAAACCCCACACAGAAUGGUCCCAGCUGGGAUUUGGACCUUCUCAUUGUAAGCAGAGAGAAAGUGCUGAAGGACGACGAUGAAGCUGAUCUUCUGAACAAACUCUGAAGUCACAAGACACCACAAUGCCUCAAAGUAACAGAUUUUCACGGUUUUAAUGGAACAAAAAAUAAAAUAAAACUAAACUAAACACAUCA
Long non-coding RNA from Oryzias melastigma (Indian medaka), 711 nucleotides. RefSeq lists it as uncharacterized. The transcript is spliced from 4 exons. The record is from RefSeq and is a predicted model, not a curated record. NCBI's taxonomy places the organism in Eukaryota, Metazoa, Chordata, Actinopteri, Beloniformes, Adrianichthyidae.